UACGGGGGGGGUAAGCGUUGUUCGGAAUUACUGGGCGUAAAGGGCUCGUAGGCGGCCAACUAAGUCAUACGUGAAAUCCCUCAGCUUAACUGGGGAACUGCGUGUGAUACUGGAUGGCUUGGAUUCGGGAGAGGGAUGCGGAAUUCCAGGUGUAGCGGUGAAAUGCGUAGAUAUCUGGAGGAACACCGGUGGCGAAGGCGGCGUUCUGGACUGCAACUGACACUGAGGAACGAAAGCCAGGGGAGCAAACGGG
This 253-nucleotide ribosomal RNA is filed under the name uncultured bacterium. RNAcentral describes it as "partial 16S ribosomal RNA". It matches the Rfam family "Bacterial small subunit ribosomal RNA", at positions 524 to 776 of the family's 1533-position model. The record is from RNAcentral.